RNAcentral lists this small nuclear RNA (104 nucleotides) under Jaculus jaculus (lesser Egyptian jerboa). The record is from RNAcentral. Lineage: Eukaryota; Metazoa; Chordata; Mammalia; Rodentia; Dipodidae.
GUGCUCGCUUCAGCAGCACAUAUACUAAAAUUGGAAUGAUACAGAGAUUAGCAUGACCCCUGUGCAAGGAUGACAUGCAAAUUCGUGAAGCAUUCCAUAUUUUU